This 336-nucleotide ribosomal RNA is filed under the name Triticum aestivum (bread wheat). RNAcentral's name for it is "partial small subunit ribosomal RNA". The record is from RNAcentral. Lineage: Eukaryota; Viridiplantae; Streptophyta; Magnoliopsida; Poales; Poaceae.
AUGCACCGACAUCAACCACGUCCACGUCUAGCACAUCAGCCGACAACCAGGCCACCCCGUCCUGGCAGCAACCACAGCAAUAUGGUCCCACGUCGAGCUUCGUGUUUUCUCCACAGCCACAGCAACACGGUCCCUCGUCGAGCUUCGUGUUUUCUCCACAGCCACAGCAGCAUGGUCCCUCGUCGAGCUUCAUGUUUGAGCCAGAGCAAACGUCACAACCAACAGGAGACUACGGAUAUCAUGCGUCUAUGUCAGCAUCACAUGAUACGUGGGGGAGUGAUCAACAUCCCGAGGAGAACAUACAUGCUCAGAUGUCGCAGCACACCCAGUGGAUGA